This 86-nucleotide transfer RNA is filed under the name Asanoa siamensis. Its description in RNAcentral is "tRNA-Cys". It matches the Rfam family "Selenocysteine transfer RNA". The record is from RNAcentral. Lineage: Bacteria; Bacillati; Actinomycetota; Actinomycetes; Micromonosporales; Micromonosporaceae.
GGUCUGGCCGCGUCGCCGGUGCGGCGGUCGGUCUGCAAAACCGGAUCCCCCAAAAGGGGCUGGGGUUCGACUCCCCGCCAGGCCUC